Molecule: ribosomal RNA, 475 nt
Filed under: Citrobacter freundii
Lineage: Bacteria; Pseudomonadati; Pseudomonadota; Gammaproteobacteria; Enterobacterales; Enterobacteriaceae
Description: bacterial SSU rRNA
Rfam family: Bacterial small subunit ribosomal RNA
Source: RNAcentral
AAAUUGAAGAGUUUGAUCAUGGCUCAGAUUGAACGCUGGCGGCAGGCCUAACACAUGCAAGUCGAACGGUAGCACAAAGGAGCUUGCUCCUUGGGUGACGAGUGGCGGACGGGUGAGUAAUGUCUGGGAAACUGCCCGAUGGAGGGGGAUAACUACUGGAAACGGUAGCUAAUACCGCAUAACGUCGCAAGACCAAAGAGGGGGACCUUCGGGCCUCUUGCCAUCGGAUGUGCCCAGAUGGGAUUAGCUAGUAGGUGGGGUAACGGCUCACCUAGGCGACGAUCCCUAGCUGGUCUGAGAGGAUGACCAGCCACACUGGAACUGAGACACGGUCCAGACUCCUACGGGAGGCAGCAGUGGGGAAUAUUGCACAAUGGGCGCAAGCCUGAUGCAGCCAUGCCGCGUGUAUGAAGAAGGCCUUCGGGUUGUAAAGUACUUUCAGCGAGGAGGAAGGCAUUAAGGUUAAUAACCUUAG